GUGUGACACUAUCAUUGUAUGGUUAUAUACAAACUGUCCCCAAGGUGUCGACAGUGUGUGACACUAUCAUUGUAUGGUUAUAUACAAACUGUCAAGGUGUCAACAGUGUGUGACACUAUCAUUGUAUGGUUAUAUACAAACUGUCCUCAAGGUGUCGACAGUGUGUGACACUAUCAUUGUAUGGUUACAUACAAACUGUCCCCAAGGUGUCGACAGUGUGUGACACUAUCAUUGCAUGGUUAUAUACAAACUGUCCUCAAGGUGCCGACAGUGUGUGACACUAUCAUUGUAUGUUAUAUACAAACUGUCCUCAAGGUGUCGACAGUGUGUGACACUUAUCAUUGCAUGGUUAUAUACAAACUGUCAUCAAGGUGUCGACAGUGUGUGACACUUAUCAUUGUAUGGUUACAUACAAACUGUCCUCAAGGUGCCGACAGUGUGUGACACUAUCAUUGUAUGGUUACAUACAAACUGUCCUCAAGGUGUCGACAGUGUGUGACACUAUCAUUGUAUGGUUAUAUACAAACUGUCCUCAAGGUGUCGACAGUGUGUGACACUAUCAUUGCAUGGUUAUAUACAAACUGUCCUCAAGGUGUCGACAGUGUGUGACACUAUCAUUGCAUGGUUAUAUACAAACUGUCCUCAAGGUGUCGACAGUGUGUGACACUAUCAUUGUAUGGUUACAUACAAACUGUCCUCAAGGUGUCGACAGUGUGUGACACUAUCAUUGUAUGGUUACAUACAAACUGUCCUCAAGGUGUCGACAGUGUUUGACACUAUCAUUGUAUGGUUAUAUACAAACUGUCCUCAAGGUGCCGACAGUGUGUGACACUAUCAUUGUAUGGUUACAUACAAACUGUCCUCAAGGUGUCGACAGUGUGUGACACUUAUCAUUGCAUGGUUAUAUACAAACUGUCAUCAAGGUGUCGACAGUGUGUGACACUAUCAUUGUAUGGUUACAUACAAACUGUCCUCAAGGUGUCGACAGUGUGUGACACUAUCAUUGUAUGGUUACAUACAAACUGUCCUCAAGGUGUCGACAGUGUGUGACACUAUCAUUGUAUGGUUACAUACAAACUGUCCUCAAGGUGUCGACAGUGUGUGACACUAUCAUUGUAUGGUUAUAUACAAACUGUCCUCAAGGUGUCGACAGUGUGUGACACUAUCAUUGUAUGGUUAUAUACAAACUGUCCUCAAGGUGUCGACAGUGUGUGACACUAUCAUUGUAUGGUUACAUACAAACUGUCCUCAAGGUGUCGACAGUGUGUGACACUAUCAUUGUAUGGUUACAUACAAACUGUCCUCAAGGUGUCGACAGUGUGUGACACUAUCAUUGUAUGUUAUAUACAAACUGUCCUCAAGGUGUCGACAGUGUGUGACACUAUCAUUGUAUGGUUAUAUACAAACUGUCCUCAAGGUGUCGACAGUGUAUGACACUAUCAUUGUAUGUUAUAUACAAACUGUCCCCAAGGUGUCGACAGUGUGUGACACUAUCAUUGUAUGUUAUAUACAAACUGUCCCCAAGGUGUCGACAGUGUGUGACACUAUCAUUGUAUGUUAUAUACAAACUGUCCUCAAGGUGUCGACAGUGUGUGACACUAUCAUUGUAUGUUAUAUACAAACUGUCCCCAAGGUGUCGACAGUGUGUGACACUAUCAUUGUAUGUUACAUACAAAUUGUCCUCAAGGUGUCGACAGUGUAUGACACUAUCAUUGUAUGGUUACAUACAAACUGUCCUCAAGGUGUCGACAGUGUGCGACACUAUCAUUGUAUGUUAUAUACAAACUGUCCUCAAGGUGUCGACAGUGUGUGACACUAUCAUUGUAUGGUUACAUACAAACUGUCCUCAAGGUGUCGACAGUGUGUGACACUAUCAUUGUAUGUUAUAUACAAACUGUCCUCAAGGUGUCGACAGUGUGUGACACUAUCAUUGUAUGUUAUAUACAAACUGUCCUCAAGGUGUCGACAGUGUGUGACAGUAUCAUUGUAUGGUUACAUACAAACUGUCCUCAAGGUGUCGACAGUGUGUGACAGUAUCAUUGUAUGGUUACAUACAAACUGUCCUCAAGGUGUCCACAGUGUGUGACAGUAUCAUUGUAUGGUUACAUACAAACUGUCCUCAAGGUGCCCACAGUGUGUGAGACUUAUCAUUGUAUGGUUACAUACAAACUGUCCUCAAGGUGUCGACAGUGUGUGACACUUAUCAUUGUAUGUUAUAUACAAACUGUCCUCAAGGUGCCGACAGUGUGUGACACUAUCAUUGUAUGGUUACAUACAAACUGUCCUCAAGGUGUCGACAGUGUGUGACACUAUCAUUGUAUGGUUAUAUACAAACUGUCCUCAAGGUGUCGACAGUGUGUGACACUAUCAUUGUAUGUUACAUACAAACUGUCAAGGUGUCGACAGUGUGUGACACUUAUCAUUGUAUGGUUAUAUAUUGGUCAUUAGGGGGCAAUACUUCUGCAUUACAGGUUGAUUGUAAUAUGAAUGUUCUGGAACUGAAUGCAGCUCAUUUGAUGUUCCCUUGUAUACUUUUCAUAAAUUGUCUUAAAAACAAACAUAUAUCAUUAAUACCUUUUUUAUAAAUCUGAAGUCCAGUAAAGUAAUCAGAUGUCAAGUUAAAUAAUCUUAACUCCAGUUAAAUGUUCUUAACUCUAGUUAAAUGUUCUUAACUCCAGUUAAAUGUUCUUAACUCUAGUUAAAUAUUCAGCCUUUUGUAUUGUACAGCAAUGUCAUAAUUAUUGUAGUCGAGUUAAAAGUACAGGAUAAACCUGCCGAGUUUGAUUGAAAAAUCAAAUACUGAAAUAAAGAAAGGGCAAUACAAAUUACUUCAUUUAAAAUAUUCUAAAUGGAAACAUCUACAUAUGAUUAUAAAGCAUACAAGGUUUCAAAGAGAGCUAUUGAAAAAGUGUAGGAGAUCUGCAGACAUACAGAAGUUUAUACCAGACGGAUGUAUGUGCCAUACCAUAAAAAUCUCUUAACAUUUUGAUGGGUGCAUAAGAACACAGGACAGGGACCUCAAAAAUACAAAGGCAAAAAUCGCAGCAGGAAAUCUUUAAUCAUGUCUUUCUUAAAACGUUCUAACACAGUGGCGUAAUAUCUUAAAAUAUCUUUUCUAUUACAAUGGCACUCUAUAAAGUAUUUGUCCCACUGAGCCUCAAUGAUUCUCUAUAAAGUCUUUGUCCCACUGAGCCUCAAUGAUACUCUAUAAAGUAUUUAUCCCACUGAGCCUCAAUGAUUCUCUAUAAAGUCUUUGUCCCACUGAGCCUCAAUGAUUCUCUAUAAAAUCUUUGUCCCACUGAGCCUCAAUGAUACUCUAUAAAGUCUUUGUCUCACUGAGCCUCAAUGAUACUCUAUAAAGUAUUUGUCUCACUGAGCCUCAAUGAUUCUCUAUAAAGUCUUUGUCCCACUGAGCCUCAAUGAUUCUCUAUAAAGUCUUUGUCCCACUGAGCCUCAAUGAUUCUCUAUAAAGUCUUUGUCUCACUGAGCCUCAAUGAUUCUCUAUAAAGUCUUUGUCUCACUGCGCCUCAAUGAUUCUCUAUAAAGUCUUUGUCUCACUGCGCCUCAAUGAUUCUCUAUAAAGUCUUUGUCCCACUGAGCCUCAAUGAUUCUCUAUAAAAUCUUUGUCCCACUGAGCCUCAAUGAUACUCUAUAAAGUCUUUGUCUCACUGAGCCUCAAUGAUACUCUAUAAAGUAUUUGUCUCACUGAGCCUCAAUGAUUCUCUAUAAAGUCUUUGUCCCACUGAGCCUCAAUGAUUCUCUAUAAAGUCUUUGUCUCACUGAGCCUCAAUGAUUCUCUAUAAAGUCUUUGUCUCACUGCGCCUCAAUGAUUCUCUAUAAAGUCUUUGUAUCACUGCGCCUCAAUGAUUCUCUAUAAAGUCUUUGUCUCACUGAGCCUAAAUGAUUCUCUAUAAAAUCUUUGUCUCACUGCGACUCAAUGAUUCUCUAUAAAAUCUUUGUCCCACUGAGCCUCAAUGAUACUCUAUAAAAUCUUUGUCCCACUGAGCCUCAAUGAUACUCUAUAAAAUCUUUGUCUCACUGAGCCUCAAUGAUUCUCUAUAAAGUCUUUGUCUCACUGAGCCUCAAUGAUUCUCUAUAAAAUCUUUGUCCCACUGAGCCUCAAUGAUACUCUAUAAAGUAUUUGUCUCACUGAGCCUCAAUGAUUCUCUAUAAAGUCUUUGUCUCACUGCGCCUCAAUGAUUCUCUAUAAAAUAUUUGUCCCACUGCGCCUCAAUGAUUCUCUAUAAAGUCUUUGUCUCACUGAGCCUCAAUGAUACUCUAUAAAGUCUUUGUCCCUCUGCGCCUCAAUGAUUCUCUAUAAGGUCUUUGUCCCACUGAGCCUCAAGUCAAUGAUACUCUAUAAAGUCUUUGUCUCACUGAGCCUCAAUGAUACUCUAUAAAGUCUUUGUCCCACUGCGCCUCAAUGAUUCUCUACAAAGUCUUUGUCUCACUGAGCCUCAAGGAAGAUAGAUGCUAUACUGUCUAACACUGUUAACAGUAACAGAAAAGCUGGCAUCACUUUAUUCCAUAACAACUUGUAUCAUGCUAUAGUAACUAUUACAAUCAUCUGUAUACAUAGCAACCACUGACAUCAGAGUAACUGUUUAUACAAUCACUUGUAUCUAAAGCAACCGACGACUAUUCAAUCACUUAUCAACUUACAACAAUAGAAUCUCUUCAAUACAAUCACUUGUACCCAUAGUAACGUACGACACCAUAGUAACUGUUUAUACAAUCACUAGUAUCCAUAGUAACGUACGACACCAUAGUAACUGUUUAUACAAUCACUUGUACCCAUAGUAACGUACGACACCAUAGUAACUGUUUUAUACAAUCACUUGUAUCCAUAGUAACGUACGACACCAUAGUAACUGUUUUAUACAAACACUUGUACCCAUAGCAACAUACGACACCGUAAUACGUGUUGACACAAUAAUUUGAAUCCAUAGUAACCUACUAUUCAAUCACUAGUAUCCAUAGUAACGUAUGA
Long non-coding RNA from Pecten maximus, 4990 nucleotides. RefSeq lists it as uncharacterized. Lineage: Eukaryota; Metazoa; Mollusca; Bivalvia; Pectinida; Pectinidae. The transcript has 2 exons. The record is from RefSeq and is a predicted model, not a curated record.